This 253-nucleotide ribosomal RNA is filed under the name uncultured bacterium. RNAcentral's name for it is "partial 16S ribosomal RNA". It matches the Rfam family "Bacterial small subunit ribosomal RNA", at positions 524 to 776 of the family's 1533-position model. The record is from RNAcentral.
UACAGGGGGGGCAAGCGUUGUUCGGAAUUACUGGGCGUAAAGGGCUCGUAGGUGGCCAACUAAGUCAGACGUGAAAUCCCUCAGCUUAACUGGGGAACUGCGUCUGAUACUGGAUGGCUUGAGUUUGGGAGAGGGAUGCGGAAUUCCAGGUGUAGCGGUGAAAUGCGUAGAUACCUGGAGGAACACCGGUGGCGAAGGCGGCAUCCUGGACCAACACUGACACUGAGGAGCGAAAGCCAGGGGAGCAAACGGG